This 224-nucleotide unclassified non-coding RNA is filed under the name Hevea brasiliensis (rubber tree). The record is from RNAcentral. Lineage: Eukaryota; Viridiplantae; Streptophyta; Magnoliopsida; Malpighiales; Euphorbiaceae.
UUUUUUUUUUCUUUUUAAAUUGAGUUAAGAUACUGCUAUAUAAACUUAGUUGGUUUUCCAUGUUAGUUAUGUGAGUUAGUAUAGGAGGGUAGAUUGUAACAGGCACUGCAUUUCGUUUUGCGAACAACAAAUCAUGCUUCGGCUAAAAAUAUGAAUAUGGUGAGGUUCUGGUAUCAUUAUAUUAACUGAGGAACUUACUAGCUUGCAAACCAAUUCUCUUGCAA